RNAcentral lists this ribosomal RNA (253 nucleotides) under uncultured bacterium. RNAcentral's name for it is "partial 16S ribosomal RNA". It matches the Rfam family "Bacterial small subunit ribosomal RNA", at positions 524 to 776 of the family's 1533-position model. The record is from RNAcentral.
UACGGAGGGUGCAAGCGUUGUCCGGAAUUAUUGGGCGUAAAGAGCUCGUAGGCGGUUCGUCGCGUCGGCUGUGAAAACCUGCGGCUUAACCGCAGGCCUGCUUCCGAUACGGGCGAGCUAGAGUUCGGCAGGGGAGACUGGAAUUCCUGGUGUAGCGGUGGAAUGCGCAGAUAUCAGGAGGAACACCGGUGGCGAAGGCGGGUCUCUGGGCCGAUACUGACACUGAGAAGCGAAAGCGUGGGGAGCGAACAGG